RNAcentral lists this ribosomal RNA (252 nucleotides) under uncultured Bacteroidales bacterium. RNAcentral's name for it is "partial 16S ribosomal RNA". It matches the Rfam family "Bacterial small subunit ribosomal RNA", at positions 524 to 776 of the family's 1533-position model. Lineage: Bacteria; Pseudomonadati; Bacteroidota; Bacteroidia; Bacteroidales. The record is from RNAcentral.
UACGGAGGAUGCGAGCGUUAUCCGGCUUUAUUGGGAUUAAAGGGUGCGUAGGCGGAGUGUCAAGUCAGCGGUAAAAUUUCGGGGCUCAACCCCGGCGAGCCGUUGAAACUGGCGGGCUGGAGUUGGAGAGAAGUACGCGGAAUGCGCGGUGUAGCGGUGAAAUGCUUAGAUAUCGCGCAGAACCCCGAUUGCGAAGGCAGCGUACCGGCUCCACACUGACGCUGAGGCACGAAAGCGUGGGUAUCGAACAGG